CCUAAUGCAGUAGUUCUUUUAGUGUAUACACCACUAAAAGCAGCAACAUAUGCUCAUUCAUUGAAAGCUGUGGAGCUACUUAUUAAGGCUGGUGCUGAUGUCAAUGCUGGUCAACCUGUAACUCCGCUGAUGGUAGCGGCACUUGCUGGCUAUACUGAGUGCAUCAAGUGUUUGUUGAAAGCUGGUGCUGAUGCCAAUAUACCUGAUGAUAAAGGUACACUGCCGGUAGAAAUUGCUGCAAUCCAAGGAUGGCAGGAAUGUGUUGAGAUUCUUUUCCCUGUCACGGCACCUUUGACUAGAGUUGCAGACUGGAGCAUUGAUGGAAUAACUCAACAUGCAAAAAUUAUAAGAUC
Setaria italica (foxtail millet) is the source of this 353-nucleotide long non-coding RNA. RefSeq lists it as uncharacterized. The transcript is spliced from 3 exons. Lineage: Eukaryota; Viridiplantae; Streptophyta; Magnoliopsida; Poales; Poaceae. The record is from RefSeq and is a predicted model, not a curated record.